AAAGAAAAAAAAAAAAAAAAAAGACAAAUCUAAGCUUAAUAGACAUUUUAGCUCUAAUAAACCAACUUUUUGUGUACAAUUAAAAUGAUUUUUUUUACAGGAGAAUGACAGAUUUUAAAUGAUAUUCAUAAGAAUAACUGAAUAGGAGACAAAAUUGAAAAAUAAAAAACUUGAAACCUCUGCAAGAAUUUAAGAAACUCGUAAAUCCUGCAACUCACGGUCACAAAGAUGACUAAAAAUGAAAAUACCUCUGCACUUUUAAGCCACUAAUCUAUACUGUUUACCCCUACCUACACAGUUUGAUUUAAGAGCUUUCCAUCCACAAACUGAAACAACCAAAAGUUAGGACAGUAACUAUCUAUUGUGUGGAUGUGAGUUGGUGUCCAGGUUGCAUUAAUAAAUCACACAUACACUUUCGGUUGGGACAAUAAAAGAUAUCUUUUUCCUUAUCGUUGAUUAUAUGCAAUUUUCCAAACAAAAAAUUGUAUGAUCAAAUCCAAAUUUGUGCUCGUGCUCGUCUCCAUCAAAACAUACUUAAGCUCAGUAAAGUCUAUGUGGCCCAACUACAGAAAAAUUAAAUUUGUAUUUUUAUGCAAUCCUAAAUAUAAACAUAUUUAAAUUAAAUAUAAUAAUAUACAACUAGUUAUUUUGUAAUCAUUAACUUUAAUUUAGUGAUAUUGAAAUUAUCUUAAAAAUUAUGAGGUCUUCAAUUCGAAUCCCAAUUCAAAACCUAUUACACAUGGAUAAUGAGUUGUGCUUUCAAACAACCUUAUGUUCUCAAUGAACCAAGAUACAAGCUAAUUCAAGUUCUUUAAAAAAAAUCAUAGAAAAGGAAUGUUACAUCUAAGGCAUUGUUAGAGACAAUAAUAUAAAAGAAGAUUCUAUUAUACUAUCGACAAUAAUGAAAAAGAAGGCUCUGUUGGGAGAUGUGAUGACUUAUCACUCAAAAAAUACAAAACCAAUUAAUUAAGGCACCAACAGUAGUCUAUUACUUCAAGAGGCAAAACUGAUCCUAUGUAAACUUUAUCAAAGAGGAAUAAAGGCCAUUUA
Molecule: unclassified non-coding RNA, 1050 nt
Filed under: Hevea brasiliensis (rubber tree)
Lineage: Eukaryota; Viridiplantae; Streptophyta; Magnoliopsida; Malpighiales; Euphorbiaceae
Source: RNAcentral